UAAUUUACUUUUAAUUGAUUGACGUGUUUUAUCCUUUUAUUAACGAGCUUUCGUUUAUGAUUUGUUUCAGAUAGCCAACCUGUGGUCGAGCCGCGUUAAAAACCGGAAGCCAACAGUGCGGCAAACGAAGCUCCAUACGACAGUCAACAGCGGCCGGCGCGUGAAGCAUUUUCGUUCAUGCAACGAUGUCGUCGAAUUCAAAACCCUUAACGCAAGCAGUGCGGUAAACGAAGCCCCAAAUGAGAGUCAGCAGCAGUCGUCGCGCAAAGCAUUUUAUUUUAAAUGCAACGAUGCCGUAUCUGCGACAUCAAAUGGAUAUCACGCCGGUAUUGGUCGGGAUUCGAAACAAAAAUGGGGUUUCCAUCGCUACGUCGGAAGUGAAGAUAGACAAAAUUGGGAGGACGAGAUAUGAACGGUUGUCGCUAUUCAAUCAUUCACCGCCUACUACUCCACAAAUACAGAAGAAAAAUAAAAGGAGGGAUAUGAGACAGGAGACAGUAGGAGGCGCGGGAUCCAUGUCCGGUCUCUUUCCUCUACCGAAAUUGCGGAACAAUUCACCCCCCCCCCUUCCCCACCCAAAAAAAAAA
This is a long non-coding RNA of Daphnia carinata, 587 nucleotides long. RefSeq lists it as uncharacterized. NCBI's taxonomy places the organism in Eukaryota, Metazoa, Arthropoda, Branchiopoda, Diplostraca, Daphniidae. The transcript has 5 exons. The record is from RefSeq and is a predicted model, not a curated record.